RNAcentral lists this ribosomal RNA (1716 nucleotides) under Triticum aestivum (bread wheat). Its description in RNAcentral is "partial small subunit ribosomal RNA". Lineage: Eukaryota; Viridiplantae; Streptophyta; Magnoliopsida; Poales; Poaceae. The record is from RNAcentral.
AUGGCGGCCAUCCUCGUCGCCGCGAUGGUGGUGGUGCUGUCCGUCACCGUGGCGGAGAGCGCCACGGUGGAGUACCAGUUCGAUGUGGCGACCAUGAACGUGACGCGGCUGUGCGGCAGCAAGAGCAUCGUGACGGUGAACGGGCAGUUCCCGGGCCCCACGGUGUCGGCGAGGGAGGGCGACCUCGUCGUCGUCCGGGUCGUCAACAAGGCCCAGUACAACAUGAGCAUACACUGGCACGGCGUCCGGCAGCUGCGGAGCGGGUGGGCGGACGGGCCGGCGUACAUCACUCAGUGCCCGGUGCAGCCCGGGCAGAGCUACGUGUACAAGUUCACCAUCACCGGGCAGCGCGGCACGCUGUGGUGGCACGCGCACAUCUCCUGGCUCCGCACCACCGUCUACGGUCCCAUCGUCAUCCUCCCCAAGCUCGGCGUCCCCUACCCCUUCGCCGCCCCCUACAAGGAGGUGCCCAUCAUGUUCGGCGAAUGGUGGAAGGCGGACACGGAGGCGGUGAUCAGCCAGGCACUUCAGACCGGCGGAGGCCCGAAUGUCUCUGAUGCCUUCACCAUCAAUGGCCUCCCAGGGCCGCUCUACAACUGCUCUGCCAAAGACACGUUCAAGCUCAAGGUGAAGCCCGGGAAGACGUACAUGCUCCGCAUCAUCAACGCCGCACUCAACGACGAGCUCUUCUUCUCCAUCGCCGGCCACUCGCUCACCAUCGUCGACGUCGACGCGGUCUACAUCAAGCCCAUCACCGUCGAGACCCUCCUCAUCACCCCGGGCCAAACCACCAACGUGCUCCUCACGGCCAAGCCGUCCUACCCUGGGGCGACCUACUACAUGAUGGCCGCGCCCUACUCCACGGCGGCCUCCGGGACCUUCGACAACACCACCGUCGCCGGCAUCCUCGAGUACGAGGACCCCAGCUCCCCCUCCUCCGCGGGGUUCAACAAGAACCUCCCGGUGCUCAGGCCGACCCUGCCCCAGAUCAACGACACGAGCUUCGUGUCCAACUACACCGCCAAGCUCCGGAGCCUCGCCACGGAGGAGUACCCGGCGGAGGUGCCGCAGGAGGUGGACAGGCAGUUCUUCUUCACGGUGGGGCUGGGCACCCACCCCUGCGCCGUCAACGGGACGUGCCAGGGGCCGACGAACGACAGCCGAUUCGCGGCGGCCGUGAACAACGUCUCCUUCGUGCUCCCCACGACGGCGCUGCUGCAGUCGCACUACACGGGGAUGUCCAACGGGGUGUACUCGUCCAACUUCCCCGCCGUUCCCAAGUCGCCGUUCAACUACACGGGCACGCCGCCGAACAACACCAACGUGUCCAACGGGACCCGGCUGGUGGUGCUGUCGUACGGCGACGCCGUGGAGCUGGUGAUGCAGGGCACCAGCAUCCUCGGCGCCGAGAGCCACCCGUUCCACCUGCACGGCUUCAACUUCUUCGUGGUCGGGCAGGGGUUCGGCAACUUCGACCCCGUCAAGGACCCGGCCAAGUACAACCUCGUCGACCCCGUCGAGAGGAACACCGUCGGCGUGCCCGCCGCCGGGUGGGUGGCAAUCCGCUUCCGUGCCGAUAAUCCAGGGGUGUGGUUCAUGCAUUGCCACUUGGAGGUGCACGUCAGCUGGGGCCUGAAAAUGGCGUGGGUGGUGCAGGACGGGAGCCUCCCCAACCAGAAGCUGCUCCCUCCGCCGUCCGAUCUUCCCAAAUGUUAG